GCGGCGGAGCGGCGGGAUGCGGCAGGGCCGGGCCGCAGGGCUGGCGGCGCUGGCCGCGGUGCUCCUGGUGGCUGUGGGCAGAGCCCAGGUGCAGCAGGAACCAUGGGCAGAGACCACCGAGGGCACCAGCAUCAAUAUCACCUGCUCACACCCCAACAUCCAGACUGGUGAAGUCAUCCACUGGUACCGCCAUCUCCCGGGCCAAGGACCCGCAUUCCUAGUGUUCGGUACUGGAGGCUCCAGAGCACUGACGGACCUGCCGGGCUGGCUCGUGGUGGCAGCAGACCGCCGGUCCAGCGCCCUGUGGCUCACCAAGCCCCGGCUUCGGGACGCGGCGGUGUAUUACUGCGCCCUGAGAGCCACGGGGAGAGGAGCCGGGGCUGCGGCCGUGCAGGAACCGUGGCGGGCGGGGCCGGGCGUGUGUGGCGGGGGGGGAGGCAGGGGCACAGGUCCCAGGCGGCGCUGCCGCUCUGCCGGCGGGGGCCGUCUUACGGUACAGGCGCGGAGGUUCCCCCGCCAGUCCAGCCCUGGCCUGGACCGGUCCUGCUGAGGCCCAUUAGUUCUUCCGGGUAGGUCGCUGGGGGUCUGAUGUGGGUCAGACCCAGCUACGUGUGAGAGGUCAGGACGGCACACCCAGCGAUGUUGGGCUUCUUUCCGUACCAGAAGCCACUUUUGCAGAAGCUCUUCUUCAGUGAAUACAAGCAACACUUUAACUCCACUUCCAACAAACUGCUCUCCUUCCUUCAGACUCAAUCUCAACUGCUUCAUGGCCACUUUGAUCCACCUUUGUCCUUUCUUCACCUUUAGCUUUGGGAAAUCCUUUUGUUCUAUGCGUGUCCCUCUCCUUCCCUGGCCUUUCCCCCACUUCUACAUUCUUCCUGGACAGCUCAGGACGGACUAUGCAGAGGGAAAAAAUAUUUACAGUCAAGGCUGGGAUGCACAAAUCUUUAAUGAGUAUACAGAGAAAAAGGAGGUCACUCCAAGCAGAAGCCCCUCAGUGCAGGGAUCACCAGGGCCAAUCAAAAGGCCUACUGUCCCUUGCCUAUGGUGGAGAUCAUGCAGGGCAUGUGUCUGCUGUUCCUGCAGUGGGAGGGCUGGCUCUGAGAAGCAACACAGCCCAAGGAAGAAACACAAAGAAAAGGGAGAGAAGAAGGUAGGUGAAGGGAUGGAAGGAGGGGCAUGGGCUGUGUUUUCAGAAAUUUCAGGGUAGACACUGGGCUGGAUCCUGCCAAUAUUUGCCAGAGUAGCUAAGGAAUGUCAGUCAUUCUGAAAGCAACGGCCUGAAGAUUCCUCCUUUGUGUAGCACCAUAUACGAAGUUCCUGGGAGAAGAACCCCAGGGCCAUGGCCACUGGCUUCUUUAGCAGGGCAGGCACCUUCUGCCACAGUAGCGGCUGGAAAUGCCAGAGAGGUCACAGCAGCCAGAGGUGAUGGGGACU
Molecule: non-coding RNA, 1437 nt
Organism: Anas platyrhynchos (mallard)
Lineage: Eukaryota; Metazoa; Chordata; Aves; Anseriformes; Anatidae
Source: the annotation of a RefSeq genome assembly